AUUGAACGCUGGCGGCAGGCCUAACACAUGCAAGUCGAGCGGAUGAAGGGAGCUUGCUCCUGGAUUCCGCGGCCGACGGGCGGGUAAGUCCUAGGAAUCUGCCUUGCCGUUGGGGAUAACGUCCGGUCACGGGCGCUAAUACCGCAUACGUCCUGAUGGUGAACGGGGUGGAUCUUUGGACCUCACGCUAUCAGAUGAGCCUAGGUCGGAUUAGCUAGUUGGUUGGGUAAAGGCCUACCAAGGCGACGAUCCGUAACUGGUCUGAGAGGAUGAUCAGUCACACUGGAACUGAGACACGGUCCAGACUCCUACGGGAGGCAGCAGUGGGGAAUAUUGGGCAAUGGGCGAAAGCCUGAUCGAGCCACGCCGCGUGUGUGAAGAAGGUCUUCGGAUUGUAAAGCACUUUAAGUUGGGAGGAAGAGCAGUAAGUUAAUACCUUGCUGUUUUGACGUUACCAACAGAAUAAGCACCGGCUAACUUCGUG
This 484-nucleotide ribosomal RNA is filed under the name uncultured bacterium. RNAcentral's name for it is "partial 16S ribosomal RNA". It matches the Rfam family "Bacterial small subunit ribosomal RNA", at positions 30 to 507 of the family's 1533-position model. The record is from RNAcentral.